This 773-nucleotide ribosomal RNA is filed under the name Carnobacterium divergens. Its description in RNAcentral is "bacterial SSU rRNA". It matches the Rfam family "Bacterial small subunit ribosomal RNA", at positions 28 to 778 of the family's 1533-position model. Lineage: Bacteria; Bacillati; Bacillota; Bacilli; Lactobacillales; Carnobacteriaceae. The record is from RNAcentral.
GACGAACGCUGGCGGCAUGCCUAAUACAUGCAAGUCGAACGCACGAAGUUGAAAAGCUUGCUUUUCGACCAAGUGAGUGGCGGACGGGUGAGUAACACGUGGGUAACCUGCCCAUAAGAGGGGGAUAACAUUCGGAAACGGAUGCUAAUACCGCAUAUUUCAAAUGACCGCAUGGUCGCUUGAUGAAAGGUGGCUUCGGCUACCGCUUAUGGAUGGACCCGCGGUGCAUUAGUUAGUUGGUGAGGUAAUGGCUCACCAAGACAAUGAUGCAUAGCCGACCUGAGAGGGUGAUCGGCCACACUGGGACUGAGACACGGCCCAGACUCCUACGGGAGGCAGCAGUAGGGAAUCUUCCGCAAUGGACGAAAGUCUGACGGAGCAAUGCCGCGUGAGUGAAGAAGGUUUUCGGAUCGUAAAACUCUGUUGUUAGAGAAGAACAAGGAUGAGAGUAACUGCUCAUCCCCUGACGGUAUCUAACCAGAAAGCCACGGCUAACUACGUGCCAGCAGCCGCGGUAAUACGUAGGUGGCAAGCGUUGUCCGGAUUUAUUGGGCGUAAAGCGAGCGCAGGCGGUUCUUUAAGUCUGAUGUGAAAGCCCCCGGCUCAACCGGGGAGGGUCAUUGGAAACUGGAGAACUUGAGUGCAGAAGAGGAGAGUGGAAUUCCAUGUGUAGCGGUGAAAUGCGUAGAUAUAUGGAGGAACACCAGUGGCGAAGGCGACUCUCUGGUCUGUAACUGACGCUGAGGCUCGAAAGCGUGGGGAGCAAACAGGAU